Long non-coding RNA from Hirundo rustica (Barn swallow), 528 nucleotides. RefSeq lists it as uncharacterized. The record is from RefSeq and is a predicted model, not a curated record. The transcript is spliced from 4 exons. Lineage: Eukaryota; Metazoa; Chordata; Aves; Passeriformes; Hirundinidae.
UGAAGGAGGAGGAGCCUUGUGGGAGAGAGAGAAUUAUGGCGAGGAAGGAAGGAUCCUAGGGAGGGUGAAUCAUUGCUAUGAGGUCUUGGAGAGUUUCAGUGCCCUAAAUAAUAGAAAAAUAACUCAUUUGCUGAUUGGGGGAAAAAAUAGAACCUGAUUCAACUGAAUUACAGAAAAUUGCGCACCAUAAAGCUUCAAAGGUACUGAAAGUUGUAUUAAGUUGCAUUCAUUUCUGAGAGACAACAGCAUUCAAGUUCAUCUAGAAGAGAAUUCCAGGAUUCUUCAGGUUGAAAACUAAGAAAAGAAUUCGUCAUAAAGCUUUGGGAAAAGAGGAUGUAUCCCUGACCAUGGAAGAGUUAGCCAGACGACAAAACAAAUAUCUAAGGACACCCUCAAACAUGGAGAGCUGCCAGGUCCAAUUAAGAUGGGUCCCAGCCGUGAAUAGUCACUAAUAAAAUGAUUUGGGAAUAAGCAAAGUUCUGGGUCCCCUUAGAGGAUAGGAAUGCUGAGAAAGUUGGGAGUUUUAUA